GAGUUUGAUCAUGGCUCAGGAUGAACGCUAGCGGCAGGCCUAAUACAUGCAAGUCGAGGGGCAGCAGGAUAGCAAUAUCGCUGGCGACCGGCGCACGGGUGCGUAACACGUAUACAAUCUGCCCUUAACUGGGGGAUAGCCCGGAGAAAUCCGGAUUAAUACCCCAUAACAGUAGAAGGGGCAUCUCUUUUAUUUGAAAGUUCCGACGGUUAAAGAUGAGUAUGCGUCUGAUUAGUUAGUUGGUGAGGUAACGGCUCACCAAGACAGCGAUCAGUAGGGGAUCUGAGAGGAUUAACCCCCACACGGAUACUGAGACACGGAUCCGACUCCUACGGGAGGCAGCAGUAAGGAAUAUUGGACAAUGCCCGCAAGGGUGAUCCAGCCAUGCCGCGUGCAGGAAGACGGCCCUAUGGGGUUGUAAACUGCUUUUAUACGGGAGAAAACCCCUUUACGUGUAGAGGGCUGAUAGUACCGUAAGAAUAAGCAUCGGCUAACUUCGUGCCAGCAGCCGCCGUAAC
This 518-nucleotide ribosomal RNA is filed under the name uncultured Sphingobacterium sp. RNAcentral's name for it is "bacterial SSU rRNA". It matches the Rfam family "Bacterial small subunit ribosomal RNA", at positions 9 to 524 of the family's 1533-position model. Lineage: Bacteria; Pseudomonadati; Bacteroidota; Sphingobacteriia; Sphingobacteriales; Sphingobacteriaceae. The record is from RNAcentral.